This 3433-nucleotide ribosomal RNA is filed under the name Triticum aestivum (bread wheat). Its description in RNAcentral is "partial small subunit ribosomal RNA". The record is from RNAcentral. Lineage: Eukaryota; Viridiplantae; Streptophyta; Magnoliopsida; Poales; Poaceae.
CCGCGCACUGAGACAGAGAGUCGACCCUACUUGGAAGCCGCCGCCCGCACCUCCCCCCGUGACCGUGAGCACGCAGAUCGGUCAGAGAGCGGAGAGCCCCGCUGCUCCGACACAGUCCCACUACCUCCCACAGCGCGCGAGGCAGGGGCCGAGGGCCGAGGACGAGGUGCGCCGGCCGGUCUGCCCCCCGAAGCUUGGGAGCCCCCGGGCGGGCGGCUUGGUCAGGAACGACCGGCCGCGACCAGCGCCCUUCUUCCUUGCGGUGCUCGCGCUCGCGCUCGUGGGAUGGGGGAAGGAAGGGUUUGGGGCGAGGUGGCAGGAUCCCGCUAGGAGGCCCCUCCGGCGUGAGGAUUCUGGUUACCGAGUGUUGGUGCGAUGGACAGCCUUCAGAGUGAUCCUUAUACAAGGAGCAGCUUGCAAAUGCAGCUCAUUGACACCACCACAUCCUUCGAAACUAGCAAUUUGGAUUUGGUCAAGCAUGAAGUUCCCACCCCUCAAGUUGGCAUGACUUUUGAGACAGUUGAUUUGGCAUACCAGUCUUACCUAGAGUACGGGUACCGCGCAGGCUUUGGAGUUUCAAAAAGAACUUCCCAUAGUGUUGAUGGGGUAAAAUACCGCGCAACAUUUGUUUGUUACAAAGGUGGCAUUGCUAGGAUUAAGCCUGGGCUUAAAGCUCGAAGAAGACUUGUUGCGAAGACUGGCUGCAAAGCUAUGAUGGUGGUGAAGUAUAACGCAAGUGAGAAUCAUUGGGAAGUAGUGUUUGUUGAGCUGGAGCAUAACCACCCAUGUAAUCCUGAAAUGGUCAGAUUCAUGAUGUGUUUUAAGGAUCUCCCUGACUGGCAGAGGGAGCACCGACCAUUCAAUGCGAAAACUAGAUUGAACCCAAAGAUUCAUUCUGGUAGAGGCAGGCCACCCAACCAAAACAAAGAUUUCAUGGUGAGGUCCUUCGCUCAGUCUAAUUAUUCAAUUGAAGCAGCUGCCAAGUGUGGGAAGCUGAGAUUUGCAGAGGGUGACGUUGAGGCAUUAUUAGUCUUUUUCGAUAAGAUGCAAGCUCAAAAUUCCAACUUCUUCUACAACUGGGACAUGGAUGAUGAAGGCCGGCUUAAAAAUGUUUGCUGGGUCGAUGCAAGAUCGAGAGCUGCAUAUCAGCAUUUCAGUGAUGUUGUCUGCUUUGAUACUGUUUAUUUGACAUACCAGUUUGUCAUUCCAUUGGUUGCUUUUCUUGGAAUCAACCAUCAUGGUCAAUUUGUAUUGUUAGGAUGCGGUUUACUGGGAGAUGAGUCUCCAGAGACUUUUUCAUGGUUAUUCAAAAAAUGGCUAAAAUGUAUGAAUGAUAAAGCACCUGAAGCAAUUAUUACCACCCAUUCAAGACCAGUAGUCAAAGCAGUCUCUGAGGUAUUCCUAAAUACUCGUCACAGAUACAACCUUUGGCACAUAAUGAAAGAGCUUCCUGACAUGUCUGGAAGAGUUGAGGAUAAGGAGGCAAUUAGCCUGAGAAUGAAAAAGGUAGUCUAUGACACCAUUACAGCAGCUGAUUUUGAGAGGGAGUGGGUUGAGAUGGCCAAUCAGUACAACCUUCAUGACAAUCGUUGGCUCACAACCUUGUUUGAAGAAAGGGCAAAAUGGGUGCCAGCAUAUGUGAAAGAUGCUUUCUGGGCUGGUAUCUCUACUGUUCGCCGCAGUGAACGGCUGGAGGCCUUUUUUGAUGGAUAUAUUACACCAGAGACCACAAUAAAGAUAUUCAUUGAACAAUUUGAUACUGCUAUGAAGCUUAGGUCCGAUCGAGAAGCCUAUGAUGAUUUCCGUUCUUUUCAGCAAAGGCCACAAGCCCUCUCUGGUCUGUUGUUUGAGGAGCAAUUUGCAAAUGCUUAUACGAUAAAUAUUUUCCAGAAGUUCCAGGAUCAGUUAAAGCAGCUGAUGAAUGUGACUUGCACUGAAGUCAGUAGGAAUGGAUCGAUAGUGACCUACACUGUGACCGUCAUUGGGAAGGAGAGGAAGUUUGACUAUAGAGUGAUGUAUAAUAGUGCCGAGAAAGAAGUGUGGUGUAUCUGCAGAUCCUUCCAGUUUAAAGGUAUUUUGUGUAGCCAUGCUCUUGCAGUCUUGAAGCAAGAGCUUGUGAUGCUAAUUCCUUCCAAAUAUAUUCUUGAUCGAUGGAGGAAGGACUAUAAAUGCCCUGAGGAAUCUAAGGAAACUCCCAUCCAACCAGAAGCAGCAAACCCAACAGGGAAGGGCUCAAAACCUGAAAAUGUCCGUGAUGAUAAAGUGGACAACCUCUACAACGAUGGCCACCAGUACUUUGCUGACAUUGUGGAAAUGGGAGCAACUGAUCCUGAUGCAAUGGAGUAUGUUUUGUCUGUGAUGAAAGAAGCUAAAGAGAAGGUACGCAAGUUUGAGGAAUCCCGAAAAGAGAAAAGACCUGGAGAAAGUCCAGUUUCUGCUAGUAAGAAAGGCGCCAAAUCUUCGAAGCCAUCUGCUGAAGAUGUGGGAAACAGCACAUCUGUCUCAGCACUUGCGAAUACAGCAAUGGCGACAGGGGCACCAACAAUGAUGGUGGCAGCUGCUUCAGCAACUCCGGUGUCAUCUACGCCAAUGCCAGUGCCGUCAUGUACACAAAUGCCAGUGCCGCCAACAAUGAUGGCUAUGGCUACCACGUCGGCAGCUGUCCCACCAGGAAUGUUUUUAGUACCGAUGCACCCACAUAUGGUUUUUCCACCCUUCACCCCUGGAUUACCAACAGCAGUACCACCUGUAGCGCCACCCCCAGCCCCGACAGCCAAUGCGGUGGCCGUUGUUUCCAACCCCACGAAGAAGAGAAAGAAAAGAAAGGGGAAUAAUUGAGCUUGGGGCACCGAUGAAGAUGAGCUGCACUUGGGAUUGCCUGCUGUACAUUAUCUCGCCCUUGGCUUGGAACCACUAAUCUUAGUUAGUGCAGGUUGGGACUGCCUACUGUACAUGAUCAGAAUUCAGUCGAAUGUAAUCUUAUAUGUAGCGCUGUUCUGAAUGUUAGUCUGCUGCUGAUCUCGCGGAUCAUGAUUUGGAGGAGCUUUGUGGUACAACCCUUGCAGACUCUUACGUUGCUGGAGAUUUCGCCAAAUUCUGUAAUCACGCCGUAUUUAUGUCCAGCCACCGAUGCUCGUUAGUUUCUUGUUGAGAACACCGGUAUGCUCAUCGUCAUAAGCUCAUCAUCUGUUAUGCUCUGGGUACCGAAGUAUGGUGGUGCAUACUGCAUAGGCAGCAUGGCAAUGACAUGGCUGGGCCUGCUACUGCAUGGUAAGGCAAUGGAUCGCCUGUUUUUAACCCCCAUUAUUUCUAGCAGGAAUGUCCAAAGUAGAUAGCUGUGAUCCGUUUUUGUUCUGAUUUUGGGUGAACCUUUGGUGGCCCUGAUACCUUUACUGUUGUGAUGCAAUGUAAUUUUUGGCGGUGAGGCUGAGAU